CUAUAUAUUUGUGUUCUGUGCUUUAGAUGUUGGAUGGAUUUAGGGUUAGGGCAUGGUUUAUUUGUUUUGUGUUUGCUUUUAGUGACAAAUGUGGCAGAGUUUAUUAAAUUAUAAUAAUUAAACAUUUUUAUCAUGGUGUACUGUGCAGUAAUGGGUUGUUCAAACAACAACAACAAAAAAAGUAAGGUAGUUUCGGAUUGCCGAUUCUUUAGAUUUCCAAAGGACAAACAAGUUUGUGGACAAUGGGUUUUAAAAUGUUACCAGCAACGUAAAUUUAAUGUAAAAACAGCAACAAUAUGUUCAAAACAUUUCGCAGAAAGCGAUUACUGUUUUAAAGAAAAACUUUUGGAAUUACCACAAAAUAAAUGGAAAUUGAAAAAAGAUGCAGUGCCUUCCUUAAAUUUGGAAAAGUCCCCAACUGUGCAAACAUCUACUCAGCAAAAUCGUAAUAUGAAAAUAAAGAAAGAGCAAAAUAGGCAGUUAAUAAAAGAUUCCCAGCAAGAACCUGGAAUUUCUCAUAUUGAAAAAGAAACAGAACUUGAAAUAUCCAAAUAUUGAGACUGGAGGUGACAAAUUCUGUGAGAAAACAAGAACUGUUUCUACUCAGACAACAAGUGAUGAUGAUCUUCAGCAAAAAAUAAAAAUGCUUCAAGCGGAAAAUACAAAUUUAAUACAGAUUUAAAAAAAAAAUACACCCUGUAUCUAGGAAACGAAUUAGGUUAGAAUAUACGAUUAUAUGAAAAAAAAAUCGCAUUUUUAUCUGGUAAAUAUGCCCUUAAAAUCUUUGCACUCAAUUUAGUCGAAUCACCCUGUAUAUAGGUACUAAAGUGGAAUUAAUAAAACUUUGGUUGUAUGUCAUCAAUGGCACAA
This is a long non-coding RNA of Anthonomus grandis grandis, 870 nucleotides long. RefSeq lists it as uncharacterized. The record is from RefSeq and is a predicted model, not a curated record. The transcript has 3 exons. Lineage: Eukaryota; Metazoa; Arthropoda; Insecta; Coleoptera; Curculionidae.